AACAUUAAAAAAUUAGAUAAUUUGCUAUGAAAAUUUCUCAGUAGAUAUUUACUUUCACCUGAUUACAAGAAGUAAAAAUGAUAGUUUUUAUUUAUUUUUUUCCAGUUUAUAGCAAGAAGAGGCUUAUAUCGUUUGUUGAUAGUCAUUGAAAAUUGGAGUUUGAUAAUCUGGGUUUAUUUAUUCUUCUGAGGUAGAAGUAUAUCGAGUCUCCCACUAACCAUGACAGUUGUGUCAGUGAAUCGUACAAGAUGACCAUCUGCCUUCUCCUUUCAAAUCUUCAGAUUGGGAUCUGUUCAACAUCAAACGAUAUCUGUUACCAGCCUCCUCGCAUCUUCGUAACGAGUCCGAGGCUUAAAGGAGGGAAAGGCGCCAAUACCUCAUCCAGUAUUCCACUCCGGUCGUAGAACUGAGGGGCCAUUCAUACAGAUCCACAUGGGCCCUCGGAAUUUUUGCAAGCCGUUUUGGAAGAGGUUCUUCCACUGGUCCCGAUGCAAACCGGGUUCGCACAAUGUCAUGUCGCUGGUUGAGCAUAUUAAGAAAACGGUGAAGUUUAUGGCAAUAAGAGGCCUAUAUCCUUUGUUGAUAAUCAUCAAGAAUUGGAGUUUGAUAAUACGCAGAGUUUAAUGGCAAGUAUUCGGCGGACCUGACCUGGGAAUGUUUCUUUUUCCACUGAACCAGAAGUAUACCGAGUCUCCACCAACCGUGACACCGAAUCACACAUAUGACAACUAUUACACUGCAAAGAUUUUAUCAAAUUUAUGAGAAUAUCAGAAGAAAUAAAUUUCACGGACACAAGCAAUGUGAAAGCUACACAACGUUUAGAAUCCUCGGCUAUUUGUCAUAUCAGCAGUACAUUGGCAGAAAAAUUUAGUACGCUGUUACCAGCCGUCACACACUUUCGUAAUGACUCCGAGGUUUAAAGAGGGGAAAGGUGCCAAAACCUCAUCUAGCAUUUUAUUCCAGUCACCACACGAACCUUCGGAGUUUCUGCAAGCCGCCUUGGAAGAGGUUUUCUCACUGGCUCCGAUGCAGACGUCGCAAGACGGUCAUGUCGUUCAUUGACUAUGUCAAGAAAAAGAUGAAGAUAAAUCAUCGUCCAAAAUUUCCAAUUUCAAGACAUAGGAAGAUGGUAGAAAUACUUGGUGAUAUGUCAGAUCCCUUAUGUCAUGUAGCGGAUUUAGCAGAAUUCAUUCGCUUAGUUCAUCCGGAAGCAAAACAUAGUCGAGCUGCUGUGGUGACAUAAUAGCAACUACAUCAAUUGACAAGCGUGUAGGUAAAUUAUUUCUUUUUGAUUUUGAACAGUGCGGUAUUCAUUUAUCAGAAUGAUAAUAAUUUUACUUAAUCUUGGACACCGAUUUGUUACUGGAACGGCCAGCCCUAGAAUGGUUAAGAAAAGUCUGUUACCGAAUAAUGUCAGUGAUGUGUAAAUAGACCUUUUAAAAUUGGGUUAUCAAUUUGCACACUUAUCACUAAAGACCGGAAA
Long non-coding RNA from Anoplophora glabripennis (Asian longhorned beetle), 1483 nucleotides. RefSeq lists it as uncharacterized. The transcript has 6 exons. The record is from RefSeq and is a predicted model, not a curated record. Lineage: Eukaryota; Metazoa; Arthropoda; Insecta; Coleoptera; Cerambycidae.